This 444-nucleotide ribosomal RNA is filed under the name uncultured bacterium. Its description in RNAcentral is "bacterial SSU rRNA". It matches the Rfam family "Bacterial small subunit ribosomal RNA", at positions 38 to 529 of the family's 1533-position model. The record is from RNAcentral.
GGCGGCGUGCUUAACACAUGCAAGUCGAACGAACCUUCGGGUUAGUGGCGGACGGGUGAGUAACGCGUGGGAAUCUGCCCUCAGGAGGGGGAUAACGACUGGAAACGGCCGCUAAUACCCCAUAUGCCGAGAGGUGAAAUGAAUUUCGCCUGAGGAUGAGCCCGCGUCUGAUUAGCUAGUUGGUGGGGUAAAAGCCUACCAAGGCUACGAUCAGUAGCUGGUCUGAGAGGAUGAUCAGCCACACUGGGACUGAGACACGGCCCAGACUCCUACGGGAGGCAGCAGUGGGGAAUUUUCCGCAAUGGGCGAAAGCCUGACGGAGCAACGCCGCGUGAGGGAUGAAGGCCUCUGGGCUGUAAACCUCUUUUCUCAAGGAAGAAGAUCUGACGGUACUUGAGGAAUAAGCCACGGCUAAUUCCGUGCCAGNANCNNCGGUAAUNAAAA